GGGGGAAGGAGGUACCUACCUACGUACCUAGCUACCUAUACUUCUGAAAGUAUGCCCUUAACUGGCAUACAUGAUACAUGUACAUAUAAGCCACUUUAGUUUCAGGCAUUUUUACUUCGUAGGUAACUAAUUAAGAUCUUCAGGUGAAUUUUUCAACAAAUUGCGAAAGGUCAAUAAAUCAUUAUACAAACUGGUAACACUGAUUUCAGUAAAUAAGUAAACAAAAGGUGAUAUCUCUCAGUUUGAAAACUGUCAAGUGUCAAUCUGCGAGUACUUUCUGUUUCCUAAAGCUCUUUACUGAUUCCACGUUAAUUACGCCGGCACUCCAGCAGGUGAGGUGAUACGGUUUUCCAGAAAAGAACUAUUGAAUUGUCCAUCAGUUAUUAGAUGUGAAACACAUUGUGGUUCAAUUGUUUUGGCGUAUCCUGCAGCAUCUGGAGUCGGAAGCGAAACCAUCUGUUUAUCGUAUAUUAAAUUGAAAAGGUAUUUUUGUCGAGCUUGGUUCAGUGAUAAGAAACUCUAGAAUCCCCUACGUCUCCGGCUGCAGAACACAGAGUAAACAUGAGUUGUCGCACCAAUGCAAGUUACACAGUUGAGCGUAUAGUUGGUAAACGCGUACAAAAGGGUAGAGUUUACUACCAGGUCAAAUGGAAAGGGUACGAUGAAACUGCCAAUUCCUGGGAACCAGAGGAAAAUUGCAGGAAUGCGAAGAAGUUGAUAUUGGAGUAUGAAGAAAUGGUGAAUGAAGAGUACACCAGUGCGAAUCCAGAGAGCAGUUCACGUAAACGAACCAAAAAAGUUGGAAAUAGCGCCAAAGAAUCCAGACUUCGUCAUCAGAAUCAAUUAACGUCGAAUGAAUAUCACCAUCACCAUAACAGAUUGAUAACAGAUCAAAAUUCGCGAGCAAGAAGCCAUUCCGUUGCAGAAAAUGAUCCAAAAAUGAGACGUAUGCUCUCGAUUAAGCCAGGGAAGUUGAAACGUCGUUAAAGAGAUGAGAUCUGCUCGUAGUUGAGGUGUUUAUGAAUUAACCAUUUUCGAUUACUCAGUUAUCAACUUUUUGGUGGUGUUUUUUUUACAUUGAAUUUCUAUUCUAAGUUUUUGAUUGUAGAUGUUGUAUAUUUUUAAUUUUUGUAUUGUUACCUUAUAUGAUAUGUAUUUUUUUCGUUACUUGGAAAUUUUUUCAUUGCUUGUUGUAGUUGUUGUCAGCGAACUAUAAUAUUUAUUUUGUACAUAUGAAAGAUUAAUUUAGAUUGUAACGAAAAUUUUCAUUCCAUGUUGAUUAAAUUUAUAUUUUUCAUAUU
Long non-coding RNA from Planococcus citri (citrus mealybug), 1301 nucleotides. RefSeq lists it as uncharacterized. NCBI's taxonomy places the organism in Eukaryota, Metazoa, Arthropoda, Insecta, Hemiptera, Pseudococcidae. The transcript is spliced from 4 exons. The record is from RefSeq and is a predicted model, not a curated record.